Molecule: unclassified non-coding RNA, 263 nt
Filed under: plant metagenome
Description: partial contains small subunit ribosomal RNA, internal transcribed spacer 1, and 5.8S ribosomal RNA
Source: RNAcentral
UUUUCGUAGGUGAACCUGCGGAAGGAUCAUUAUUGUAUAACCGAGGUGCGAGGGCUGUCGCUGACCCGACAGGUCGUGCACGCCCGAGUGCCCUCACACACAUCCAUCUCACCCCUAUGUGCACCACCGCGUGGGUCCCCCUUUGGCUUGUUCGGAGGGGGGCUUACGUUUUCACACAAACUUUGUAUGCAGUGUAGAAUGUAUUUUUUGUUUUUGCGAUCACGCAAUCAAUACAACUUUCAACAACGGAUCUCUUGGCUCUC